This 429-nucleotide ribosomal RNA is filed under the name uncultured archaeon. RNAcentral describes it as "bacterial SSU rRNA". It matches the Rfam family "Archaeal small subunit ribosomal RNA", at positions 474 to 903 of the family's 1478-position model. The record is from RNAcentral.
UACCAGCUCUCCGAGUGGUAGGGAUGAUUAUUGGGCUUAAAGCGUCCGUAGCCGGCUUAGCAAGUUUCCUGUUAAACUCAGCGACUCAAUCGUUGAAUCGCGGGAAAUACUACUAGGCUAGGAGGCGGGAGAGGUCGACGGUACUUCUGGGGUAGGGGUGAAAUCCUAUAAUCCCGGGAGGACCACCAGUGGCGAAGGCUGUCGACUAGAACGCGCUCGACGGUGAGGGACGAAAGCUGGGGGAGCGAACCGGAUUAGAUACCCGGGUAGUCCCAGCCGUAAACGAUGCGAGCUAGGUGUUGGGAUGGCUACGUGCCAUUUCAGUGCCGCAGGGAAGCCAUUAAGCUCGCCGCCUGGGGAGUACGGCCGCAAGGCUGAAACUUAAAGGAAUUGGCGGGGGAACACCACAAGGCGUGAAGCUUGCGGUUC